CCUACGGGUGGCAGCAGUGAGGAAUAUUGGUCAAUGGACGAGAGUCUGAACCAGCCAAGUAGCGUGAAGGAUGACUGCCCUAUGGGUUGUAAACUUCUUUUAUAUGGGAAUAAAACGUUCCACGUGUGGGAUUUUGUAUGUACCAUAUGAAUAAGGAUCGGCUAACUCCGUGCCAGCAGCCGCGGUAAUACGGAGGAUCCGAGCGUUAGCCGGAUUUAUUGGGUUUAAAGGGAGCGUAGGUGGAUUGUUAAGUCAGUUGUGAAAGUUUGCGGCUCAACCGUAAAAUUGCAGUUGAAACUGGCAGUCUUGAGUACAGUAGAGGUGGGCGGAAUUCGUGGUGUAGCGGUGAAAUGCUUAGAUAUCACGAAGAACUCCGAUUGCGAAGGCAGUUCACUGGACUGCAACUGACACUGAGGCUCGAAAGUGUGGGUAUCAAACAGGAUUAGAUACCCCUGUAGUC
This 460-nucleotide ribosomal RNA is filed under the name uncultured bacterium. RNAcentral's name for it is "partial 16S ribosomal RNA". It matches the Rfam family "Bacterial small subunit ribosomal RNA", at positions 338 to 795 of the family's 1533-position model. The record is from RNAcentral.